AAAUUUUCUUAAGGAACUCGGCAAAAUCCCAAUGGCCCACCAGGGCAUAUUGGAACACGGGCCUCGACUGUUUACCAAAAACAUAGCCCUCGGCCAAUAUGAAAAUAGAUGUAUAGAGGGUGAUGCCUGCCCAAUGGUUGUAUCUAAAAGCGGUUGAUAAAAGUCGACCUCGUAAGGACAAUUGAAUGGCCGCGGUAACACUGACCGUGAUAAUGUAGCGUAAUCAAUAGCCAAUUAAUUGUUGGCCAGUAUGAAUGGCGCCACGAAGGCCCCACUGUCUUAAGGAAAUUCCCAGUGAAAUUGAAUUCGUAGUGAAGAUGCUACGUCCAAUUUGUUAGACGAAAAGACCCCGUUGAGCUUUACUGGGGCACUUACACGGCCCCGGCCUUCCCGUGUUCGGGAACCGGCCGAAUUUAAAUGGGUGGUUUAGACUAUGUGGCAGCCCCCCGCCGGGGCAGAUGAAACCCCACUCCCCCAUGUCAAAGGGGCUAACCCUCCCCUUGGGGGGGACAGUGUAAGUAGGACAGUUUGGUUGGGGCGACCGCCUUUUAAAGAGUAACGAAGGUGCGCUUAAGGUGCGCAAUUAAUGACUGAAGCCUGACUGCGAGGGGGACACCCCGAGCAGACACCCCUAAGCCCGCCCGAAGGGCGGCGGUGGGGUGGGCCAUAGUGACCCGUUAAUUUAGAGUGGAAUAGUUAACGAUCAACGAAUAAAAGUUACCACGGGG
Molecule: ribosomal RNA, 728 nt
Filed under: Palythoa mizigama
Lineage: Eukaryota; Metazoa; Cnidaria; Anthozoa; Zoantharia; Sphenopidae
Description: partial 16S rRNA
Rfam family: Bacterial large subunit ribosomal RNA
Source: RNAcentral